Molecule: ribosomal RNA, 253 nt
Filed under: uncultured bacterium
Lineage: Bacteria
Description: partial 16S ribosomal RNA
Rfam family: Bacterial small subunit ribosomal RNA
Source: RNAcentral
UACGUAGGGGGCAAGCGUUGUCCGGAUUUAUUGGGCGUAAAGAGCGUGUAGGCGGCCAGACAGGUCCGUUGUGAAAACUCGAGGCUCAACCUCGAGACGCCGAUGGAAACCGUCUGGCUAGAGUCCGGAAGAGGAGAGUGGAAUUCCUGGUGUAGCGGUGAAAUGCGCAGAUAUCAGGAAGAACACCCGUGGCUAAGGCGGCUCUCUAGUACGGUACUGACGCUGAGACGCGAAAGCGUGGGGAGCGAACCGG